UACAGAGGUCCCAAGCGUUGUUCGGAUUCACUGGGCGUAAAGGGUGCGUAGGUGGCGGGGUAAGUCUGAUGUGAAAUCUCCGAGCUUAACCCGGAAACUGCAUCGGAUACUGCCUUGCUCGAGGGUUGGAGGGGGGACUGGAAUACUUGGUGUAGCAGUGAAAUGCGUAGAUAUCAAGUGGAACACCAGUGGCGAAGGCGAGUCCCUGGACAACUCCUGACACUGAGGCACGAAAGCCAGGGGAGCAAACAGG
RNAcentral lists this ribosomal RNA (253 nucleotides) under uncultured bacterium. RNAcentral's name for it is "partial 16S ribosomal RNA". It matches the Rfam family "Bacterial small subunit ribosomal RNA", at positions 524 to 776 of the family's 1533-position model. The record is from RNAcentral.